RNAcentral lists this long non-coding RNA (3690 nucleotides) under Homo sapiens (human). Its description in RNAcentral is "non-protein coding lnc-SYCP3-3:1". Lineage: Eukaryota; Metazoa; Chordata; Mammalia; Primates; Hominidae. The record is from RNAcentral.
AGCUUGCCUCAGAAGCGUCGCGGAGAAGGGGCCACCUCAGGUGAAGCGCGCUUGUGGAGGAGUUGUGGAGGACGCCUGUCGACGACCAGUAACUGGUCCUCGGCCAUUGCGUCAGGAAGCAUCUAAAUAUGGUGUCCUCCGGAAAAAAGUAUUCCAGGAAAUCUGGGAAGCCGUCUGUGGAAGAUCAGUUUACGAGAGCCUAUGACUUUGAGACUGAAGAUAAGAAAGAUCUGAGUGGAUCAGAGGAAGAUGUUAUUGAAGGUGCAGUACAUCUCAUGUUGGGCAGUGAUGUCCUUCAGUUCAUUUGUUUUGAACCCAUUGAGACUAUCGUACAACUUAGUUUGUAAAGCAUUUUCAGGUAUGGUCUUCCCUCCCCCGGUAUUUGUGGUUACAGAACCUGCUGACACGGAUGGCCAGCUGUACUUGUGUUUCUCAUUUGAUCCUUAUAUUGCAGUAUCGGAGUUACAGAAGCUUAUUCGGCAACUCUUGCUUUUGCAGUUAUUUCCAAAAUAUCUGAUAUAUAGUAUGUGGCUUACUGUGACAUUAACCCAGGGAGACUUGAAAAAUUAUUCCUAUAAAAUGGUCCUGAAUCCUGAUUUAAUUUCACCUAACCUGCAGAGAAUAUUGCAUUUUUAUGUCUGCUUUGAAACUGUAUGUUGGCAAAAAGCCUAAAAAUCCCCAAAUGAAGAUGUUUCAUUAAAAUUUACCAAAAUAACCUAUUCAGUUUCAAAAGCUUUUUUUUUUUUUUUUUAAUUGUCAAUACAGGGAAGACUGCAGUCAUUGAGAAACGUAGGAAGAAAAGGUCUUCUGCAGGAGUAGUUGAAGAUAUGGGGUAACGUGUUCAAAAUAAUUUUUGUUUCUUAGAUAAAGCACUUCAAGAAAAGUUGCUAACAAAUAAUAUAUGUAAAAUACUUGGCAUCUGGUAUUUCUUCCAAAACAAGCAUGGUAUGUUGUGGAUCUUCUAAAGUGUUUAAAAUGUAAUUUCUUUCCAGGGGUGAAGUGCAGAAUAUGCUGGAAGGAGUUGGAGUUGACAUUAACAAGGCUCUUCUUGCCAAGAGAAAGAGACUAGAAAUGUAUACCAAGGCUUCUCUCAAAACUAGUAACCAGAAAAUUGAACAUGUUUGGAAAACACAACAAGAUCAAAGGCAGAAGCUUAACCAAGAAUAUUCUCAGCAGUUUCUGACUUUGUUUCAGCAGUGGGAUUUAGAUAUGCAGAAAGCUGAGGAACAAGAAGAAAAAAUACUUGUUGGUAUCAUGAUUAGGUUUAUAAUCAACCAAGUCUCAAGUAGGAAUGGACAACCUAGCCUUUUAUUGUGACCAGUGGAACUGAGCCAGGUUUCAUUAACCAUUGCUGGCCAUGUGUUUUAAACCUACUGAACUGUAAACCACAGACGUAUAGGCACAUACCAUACUCAUAAAAGGCAUUUAUAUUGUUUGGGGUUCCUGCAUUUCCAAGUGACAGAAAUUUGUCAAAGUACAAAAGAAGGAUCAUUGGUUUAUGUAAAAGAAGUCGGGGCAGUUUAGCUUCAGGCAUAGCCAGAUGGGAACAGGGAGGGGGUUGCUCAUGUAGUGUCAUCUGGGUUCUGUCAUCAGUACUUAGUAAGGUGUCUUGAUGUAGUAAGCAAGAUAGUUUUUACAGUCCUAGGCUUAUUACAAGUUUAGUAACCCCAGUGGACUGAGAAAAUCUUUCUCAAUAGCUCUGGCAAAAAAUUCCUCUGGGAAAAUAUGACUGAUGGGAGUUUGGAUCAUUUGCCCAUUCUUGAACCAAUCAUUGUAUAGUUAGCCCUCUGUAUAUAAGGGUUCCGCAUCUGUGUAUUCAACCAAUCGUGGAUGAAAAAUAUUUGGAAAAGGCUGGGCGUGGUGGUGGUUCAUGCCUGUAAUCCCAGCACUUUGGGAGGCCGAGGCGGGUGGAUCACCUGAGGUUGGGAGUUUGAGACCAGCCUGACCAAUAUGGUGAAAACCCAUCUCUACUAGAAAUACAAAAAUUAGCCGGGCUGUGAUGGCGUGUGCCUAUAAUCCAAGUUACUCAGGAGGCUGAGGCGGGAGAAUCACUUGAACCUGGGAGGCGGAGGCUGCAGUGAGCCGAGAUUGUGCCACUGCACUCCAGCCUGGGUGACAGAGGGAGACCCUUUCUUGAAAAAAAAAAAAAAAGAAAAAAGAAAAAAUGCAAAUUGGAAAAAUAAUCCAGUGUUACAACUAUACAGCAUUUACAUUGUGUUAGGUAUUAUAAGAGAUCUAGAAAUGAUUUAAAGUAUGUGGAAGGAUGUGCAUUGGUUAUAUGCAAAUAUGAUGCCAUUUUGUAACAGGAACUCGAGCAUCUGCACAUUUUGGUCUCCUGAGGGGUUGGGUGUCCUGGAACUGGUCCCCCCAGGAUACCUAAGGAUGUCUGUAGUCAGAACAUUGUUGACUUUUAAUGGCCAGACUUGUGUUACCUGCAAGUGAGGAUAUUGGGGGUAGGGAUGACAGUGUAAAAUAGAUAGGAUGGAUUUGUGGCACUGAUAGAUUAUUGAGCUGUAGUACUAAAAAGAGUAAGUUAGAAUGGUAAAGAAGUAGUGGUUAAAUACUAGGAUAGACAGAGAAACAGUAUGUAUAAUGGUUAGAGCCUGGAUGCCAGCAACAAUACUGUUUUGGAUCAAAUUCUUGUUUGAGCAAUUGUAGCUGUGAAACCAUGGACAGAUUAUGCCUCAGUUUACUCAUCUAUGAAAGGGGAAUGCUGAGUAUCUAUCUCUUAGAAAGUUUACCAUUACUAAUACUGUGUAGUGGUUAGAAUUAUUAGUAAUGACAAAAUCUAGGGUGGGAGUAUGUAAGUCAAUGGCUAAAGUAGGGUAGAGGCCAAAAUCAUUGAGAAACAGGUCACGAAACGGAAAACCAUUAUUAUUGGAAGGAUCAUCUGUGUGGACAUUGAAAUCACCAAGAAUUAAGACAUGACUUGAUUAUUGUUAAAAUUUCCCAUUCAGCAACUGGUAGAAUUAAUAUAUUGUUACAUAUUAGUGGUGAACAUAAAUUAUCUAAAUGUGGUCAUAAUAGUUGUUAAAAUUUUAAAAGCAUUGAUUUUUAACACUUUCUUUUAAGUUUAAUGUAGAAUUAUUUUUUCUAAAUUUAAAAUUUUACCCAAAUUGUUAUUACACAGUUUUUUUUCUUUUAUAUUUGUAGAAUAUGUUUCGACAGCAACAAAAGAUUCUUCAACAAUCUAGAAUUGUUCAGAGCCAGAGAUUGAAAACAAUUAAACAGUUAUAUGAGCAGUUCAUAAAGAGUAUGGAAGAGUUGGAGAAGAAUCAUGAUAAUCUACUUACUGGUGCACAAAAUGAAUUUAAAAAAGAAAUGGCUAUGUUGCAAAAAAAAAUUAUGAUGGAAACUCAGCAGCAAGAGAUAGCAAGUGUUCGGAAGUCUCUUCAAUCCAUGUUAUUCUGAUGACUCUUUGAAGAAAGAACUUGAACCUAAGUAAUAUGAUACAAUUAUAACGUUAGCUAAGAAGCAUAUUGUAAGUCUUUAGAAUAGUUUAAUUGUAACAUCUUUAAUCAUAAACCUGUUUCAUUGUAAGACCUCCCUUUCUGUUAAGUCAAAUCUAAAUAGUUAUGAGUUAGUUAGCAACUAUUCCUAAAGAAUAUGUAUUAAGCUUUCAGCUCUUUAGUAAUGAUAGUGAAUUUUUCUCUCUAACACUGUCAAUUAAAUAAAGACGAUUUAAUUUUA